GGGUUGUGAGGUUAAGCGACUAAGCGUACACGGUGGAUGCCCUGGCAGUCAGAGGCGAUGAAGGGCGUGCUAAUCUGCGAUAAGCGCCGGUAAGGUGAUAUGAACCGUUAUAACCGGCGAUACCCGAAUGGGGAAACCCAGUGUGAUUCGUCACACUAUCAUUAACUGAAUCCAUAGGUUAAUGAGGCGAACCGGGGGAACUGAAACAUCUAAGUACCCCGAGGAAAAGAAAUCAACCGAGAUUCCCCCAGUAGCGGCGAGCGAACGGGGAGGAGCCCAGAGCCUGAAUCAGCAUGUGUGUUAGUGGAAGCGUCUGGAAAGGCGCGCGAUACAGGGUGACAGCCCCGUACACAAAAGCGCAUGUGCUGUGAGCUCGAUGAGUAGGGCGGGACACGUGGUAUCCUGUCUGAAUAUGGGGGGACCAUCCUCCAAGGCUAAAUACUCCUGACUGACCGAUAGUGAACCAGUACCGUGAGGGAAAGGCGAAAAGAACCCCGGCGAGGGGAGUGAAAAAGAACCUGAAACCGUGUACGUACAAGCAGUGGGAGCACCCUUUGGGGUGUGACUGCGUACCUUUUGUAUAAUGGGUCAGCGACUUAUAUUCUGUAGCAAGGUUAACCGUAUAGGGGAGCCGGAGGGAAACCGAGUCUUAACCGGGCGUUAAGUUGCAGGGUAUAGACCCGAAACCCGGUGAUCUAGCCAUGGGCAGGUUGAAGGUUGGGUAACACUAACUGGAGGACCGAACCGACUAAUGUUGAAAAAUUAGCGGAUGACCUGUGGCUGGGGGUGAAAGGCCAAUCAAACCGGGAGAUAGCUGGUUCUCCCCGAAAGCUAUUUAGGUAGCGCCUCGUGAAUUCAUCUCCGGGGGUAGAGCACUGUUUCGGCUAGGGGGCCAUCCCGGCUUACCAACCCGAUGCAAACUGCGAAUACCGGAGAAUGUUAUCACGGGAGACACACGGCGGGUGCUAACGUCCGUCGUGAAGAGGGAAACAACCCAGACCGCCAGCUAAGGUCCCAAAGUCAUGGUUAAGUGGGAAACGAUGUGGGAAGGCCCAGACAGCCAGGAUGUUGGCUUAGAAGCAGCCAUCAUUUAAAGAAAGCGUAAUAGCUCACUGGUCGAGUCGGCCUGCGCGGAAGAUGUAACGGGGCUAAACCAUGCACCGAAGCUGCGGCAGCGACGCUGAUGCGUUGUUGGGUAGGGGAGCGUUCUGUAAGCCUGUGAAGGUGGCCUGUGAGGGUUGCUGGAGGUAUCAGAAGUGCGAAUGCUGACAUAAGUAACGAUAAAGCGGGUGAAAAGCCCGCUCGCCGGAAGACCAAGGGUUCCUGUCCAACGUUAAUCGGGGCAGGGUGAGUCGACCCCUAAGGCGAGGCCGAAAGGCGUAGUCGAUGGGAAACGGGUUAAUAUUCCCGUACUUGGUGUUACUGCGAAGGGGGGACGGAGAAGGCUAUGUUGGCCGGGCGACGGUUGUCCCGGUUUAAGCGUGUAGGUGUGUGUUCCAGGUAAAUCCGGUUCACUUUAACACUGAGGCGUGACGACGAGGCACUACGGUGCUGAAGCAACAAAUGCCCUGCUUCCAGGAAAAGCCUCUAAGCAUCAGGUAACAUCAAAUCGUACCCCAAACCGACACAGGUGGUCAGGUAGAGAAUACCAAGGCGCUUGAGAGAACUCGGGUGAAGGAACUAGGCAAAAUGGUGCCGUAACUUCGGGAGAAGGCACGCUGACACGUAGGUGAAGUGAUUUACUCAUGGAGCUGAAGUCAGUCGAAGAUACCAGCUGGCUGCAACUGUUUAUUAAAAACACAGCACUGUGCAAACACGAAAGUGGACGUAUACGGUGUGACGCCUGCCCGGUGCCGGAAGGUUAAUUGAUGGGGUCAGCGCAAGCGAAGCUCCUGAUCGAAGCCCCGGUAAACGGCGGCCGUAACUAUAACGGUCCUAAGGUAGCGAAAUUCCUUGUCGGGUAAGUUCCGACCUGCACGAAUGGCGUAAUGAUGGCCAGGCUGUCUCCACCCGAGACUCAGUGAAAUUGAACUCGCUGUGAAGAUGCAGUGUACCCGCGGCAAGACGGAAAGACCCCGUGAACCUUUACUAUAGCUUGACACUGAACAUUGAGCCUUGAUGUGUAGGAUAGGUGGGAGGCUUUGAAGUGUGGACGCCAGUCUGCAUGGAGCCGACCUUGAAAUACCACCCUUUAAUGUUUGAUGUUCUAACGUGGACCCGUAAUCCGGGUUGCGGACAGUGUCUGGUGGGUAGUUUGACUGGGGCGGUCUCCUCCUAAAGAGUAACGGAGGAGCACGAAGGUUGGCUAAUCCUGGUCGGACAUCAGGAGGUUAGUGCAAUGGCAUAAGCCAGCUUGACUGCGAGCGUGACGGCGCGAGCAGGUGCGAAAGCAGGUCAUAGUGAUCCGGUGGUUCUGAAUGGAAGGGCCAUCGCUCAACGGAUAAAAGGUACUCCGGGGAUAACAGGCUGAUACCGCCCAAGAGUUCAUAUCGACGGCGGUGUUUGGCACCUCGAUGUCGGCUCAUCACAUCCUGGGGCUGAAGUAGGUCCCAAGGGUAUGGCUGUUCGCCAUUUAAAGUGGUACGCGAGCUGGGUUUAGAACGUCGUGAGACAGUUCGGUCCCUAUCUGCCGUGGGCGCUGGAGAACUGAGGGGGGCUGCUCCUAGUACGAGAGGACCGGAGUGGACGCAUCACUGGUGUUCGGGUUGUCAUGCCAAUGGCACUGCCCGGUAGCUAAAUGCGGAAGAGAUAAGUGCUGAAAGCAUCUAAGCACGAAACUUGCCCCGAGAUGAGUUCUCCCUGAGACUUAGAGUCUCCUGAAGGAACGUUGAAGACGACGACGUUGAUAGGCCGGGUGUGUAAGCGCAGCGAUGCGUUGAGCUAACCGGUACUAAUGAACCGUGAGGCUUAACCUUACAACGCCGAAG
This 2927-nucleotide ribosomal RNA is filed under the name Salmonella enterica subsp. enterica serovar Senftenberg. RNAcentral describes it as "23S ribosomal RNA". It matches the Rfam family "Bacterial large subunit ribosomal RNA". RNAcentral also lists the same sequence under 1 other name. Lineage: Bacteria; Pseudomonadati; Pseudomonadota; Gammaproteobacteria; Enterobacterales; Enterobacteriaceae. The record is from RNAcentral.